Long non-coding RNA from Erinaceus europaeus (western European hedgehog), 479 nucleotides. RefSeq lists it as uncharacterized. The record is from RefSeq and is a predicted model, not a curated record. NCBI's taxonomy places the organism in Eukaryota, Metazoa, Chordata, Mammalia, Eulipotyphla, Erinaceidae. The transcript has 3 exons.
CAAAAAGAGGACUAAGACAGAAAGAAAUCAGAACCUCACUCAGACACAUGUGAAGCUGGGGACUGAAACCAGGGCCCAGGAAUGCAACUCUGACACUCCACCCACUGUACCACCUCCUGGACCCGUAAGUCAUUUACUAAUCCCGUUAAAAAAAAAAGAAACAAUAGAAGCAAGCACACUUUCUAAGACUUGUGGGAACUAUGGUGGCUAUCAUCUUGGACAGUGGGAAGGAGAGAAAGAAAUUGAGAGGGAGAGAAAGAAAGACGCUUACAACCUUCUGCACUGCUGGUGAAGCUUCUCUGGAGGGGACCAGAGGCUUGAACCUGGGUCCUUGCUCAUGGCAACAGACACACAUUUAAAAAUGAAGUCCAUACUCCCAGAAGGAUAAAGAACAGGGAAAUUUCCAGUGGAGGAGAUGGGACACAGAACUCUGGUGGUGGAACUAUAUGGAAUUGUAUCCCUGUCAUCUUGUAAUCUUG